This 1199-nucleotide long non-coding RNA is filed under the name Chrysemys picta bellii (western painted turtle). RNAcentral describes it as "lncRNA (ENSCPBG00000000802.1)". Lineage: Eukaryota; Metazoa; Chordata; Testudines; Emydidae. The record is from RNAcentral.
UUAGACAAAGGCUAUUUUUAACUGGAGUUCUAUUUGCGGGGGCUGCCAACGUCACUUUAUGUUCACAUGCAUCUCGGGCAUCAUAUGCUUGUUAUUUUUAUUUACUGUGCAUGUGCCAGCUCUGCUUUUUUUAAGGGAAGAAAGAAUUGAGAGUGCUUUAGCAGGCCAGCCCUUGAAAGCUCUUUUGUAUAACAGCAGAUACACAGAUUAGGAAAGAAAAGACAACUCAGCGGUAUAUUUGGCAAACCUGUUUCUAAUGGCUGGCUUCUUUUUUCCAUGAGUCUAGUCACAAAGCUGUUUUCUUAUUACCACUGCGUUUGUGUAAGGGGAAGCUGUUUCUGAGGUUCUGCAGUGACAUACAUGACAAUUUCCUCUGUGAUCCCUGGGGAGUGGUCUGUUGUGACGAUGGUGUUCCAUGGCAAGCGCUCAGAAUGUGUCCAUACGCUCAGCACCGUUGCUCUUUAAAGGAACACAAGCCAUUCCUGUGUUUCCAGAGCAGAUGUACAGACCCUUCUCCAUACUCAUGUCACUUCCUCUAUCAUCAACAAGGGGAGUCGGCAUUAGCAAUUGUCCAUUCCUGCUGAUGAAACAGAAGCUACCUAUUCAGACUAAACAUAAGACUUGCCAUAUUGGAUCAGAUCCCUGAUCCAUUAGUUCAAUAUCCUGUCUCUGACAGUGGCCAGGACCAGAUGCUUCAGGGGAAGAGGCAAGAAGCAGAAAUACAAGGCAUGCCACUUUCACAUUCUCUUAUCAGUCUGAAACUGCUCCCCUUUCGCUUUCAUUGGGUGUCCCACUGUUCUUGUACUGUGGUAAAGCGGAAGUAGAGGCCCCAAAUUCACCUUCACUUUACCAGUCAUUAUUUGCCAUCACUUUGUCAUGUCUCCUCUGACUUGUUUACGUUGAGCAGUUCUAAUCUUUUCAGUCUCUCCUCCUAUGGAAAUCUCUCCAUGCCUUUAGUAACUCUGCUCCCCUGUCACUGGGCCCCUUCUCUUUUGAGGUAGGUUUUGGCUCCAUCUCUUUUUGAGAUAGGUUUACCAGAACUAGUCCAACGUUCAAGGUUAGGGCAUAUGAUUUAAGCAGGGUAGGGCUUCCUACCUGCAGUAAAGUUUAAAACAGCAGAGGGUAUUCGGCAGCCUUUAAGCAUCUAAAACACUUGCAGAUAUUUUAAGACACAAGUUACUGAAAUUCCAAUGUGCUUU